This 207-nucleotide ribosomal RNA is filed under the name uncultured Romboutsia sp. RNAcentral describes it as "partial 16S ribosomal RNA". It matches the Rfam family "Bacterial small subunit ribosomal RNA", at positions 568 to 775 of the family's 1533-position model. The record is from RNAcentral. Lineage: Bacteria; Bacillati; Bacillota; Clostridia; Peptostreptococcales; Peptostreptococcaceae.
UGCGUAGGUGGUUUCUUAAGUCAGAGGUGAAAGGCUACGGCUCAACCGUAGUAAGCCUUUGAAACUGGGAAACUUGAGUGCAGGAGAGGAGAGUGGAAUUCCUAGUGUAGCGGUGAAAUGCGUAGAUAUUAGGAGGAACACCAGUUGCGAAGGCGGCUCUCUGGACUGUAACUGACACUGAAGCACGAAAGCGUGGGGAGCAAACAG